Molecule: long non-coding RNA, 2420 nt
Organism: Myotis daubentonii (Daubenton's bat)
Lineage: Eukaryota; Metazoa; Chordata; Mammalia; Chiroptera; Vespertilionidae
Exons: 2
Source: RefSeq, a predicted model, not a curated record
ACCGAUUUUCGGUAAUUUCCACACAAAGGUGGAAUAUUGGCGCUAGAUGAAAGGUAGACCUAUUUUCUACAAUGUCUCCAAGUUCCAUCUUAUUCUAACCACUUGUUUGCAUGUAACUAACAUUUUUCUAUAUCAUGUUGGUUUUUUCUCUUUAAUGCUCAGGAGCCCAGGUAUCGGGGACAGUUAGGUUCAGGGCCUCAGGUCUGGUAGGAUUAAUUUAUCAUUCAAGAUUAUCAAGAUACUUUUUUAAGAAAAGGAAGUAAAAUGAAAUAUACCAAGGUGACAUAGGCACUGAGGAUUUUGUUUUUGUACUUUCUCGCCUAGAAUCAGUAUUUAUAACUUUCUUUUUAUUAAAUUGAUUGGGGUGACAUUGAUCAACAUGAAUAUAUAGGUUUCAGGUGUGGAUUUCUAUGUUAUAAGAUCUGUAUAUUGCAUUGUGUGCCCACCAUCCAAAGUCAGAUUUCCUGUCACCUUAUAUUGGGACCCCUUUCUCAAGUUUUCACAGCACCAUUUAUUGAAGAGACUGUCUUUACUCCAUUGUGUUUCUGGCUCCUUUGUCGAAAUUUAUCUGUCCAUAUGCAUGUGAUUUUAUAGCUGGGCUCUCUGUUCUGUUCCAUUGAUCUGUGUCUGUUUCUCUGCCAAUACCAUGCUGUUUUGAUUAUUGUAAUUCUGUAGUAUAAUUUGAAGUCAGGUAGCGUGUUACCUCCAGCUUUGUUCUUUUAUCUCAGGAUUUCUUUGGCUUUUUGGGGUCUUUUGCGGUUCCAUACAAAUCUGAUGAUUUCUCAUUCUACUUCUUAAAAACAUGACAUUGGGAUUUUGAUGGGGAUUGCAUUAAAUCUGUAUAUUGCUUUGGGCAAUAUGGCCAUUUAUGUUGAUUCUUCCCUUCCAUGAACACAGAAUACUUUUCUAUUUUGUUGUGUCUUUCUCAAUUGCUUUUAAAUAAUGCUUUGUAAUUUUCAAUAUAUAGGUCUUUCACAUUCUUUGUUAUGUUUAUUCCUAGGGACUUCAUUCUUUUGGUUGCAAUUACAAAAGGAAUUGGGUUUGUUGGGGUUUUUUGUGUGUUUUUCUUUUCAUUUCUGAAGUUUUGUUGUUAGUAUACAGGAAGGCAGUGGAUUUUUGCAUGUUCAUUUUGUAUCCUGCAAGUUGACUGUAUUUGUUUAUUGUUUCUAAUAGUUUUUUGGUGGAGUUUUUAGGGUUUUCUAUAUACAGAAUCAUGUUGUCCACAAAAAGUGACAGUUUGACUUCUUCCUUCGCUAUUUGGAUGCUUUUUAUUUCUUUCUCUUCCCUUAUUGCUCUGGCUAGGACUUCCAGCACUAUGGUGAAUAAGAGUGGUGAGAGUGGACAUCCUUGUCUUGUUCCUGAUCUUAGAGGAAAAGCUUUUAGUUUUUCACCAUUGAGUAUGAUAGUAGCUGAGGUUUUAUCAUAUAUGUCCUUUAUUAUGUUGAGGUGUUAUCAUAUAUGGCUUUUAUUAUGGCCUUUCCUUCUACUCCUAUUUUAUUGAAUGUUUUAAUCAUAAAUGAUGUAUUUUAUCAGAUGCUUUUUCUGCAUCUAUUGAUAAGGUCAUAUGAUAUUUAUUCUUUCUUUUGUUAAUGUGUAUUAUGUUGAUUGUUUUGCGUAUGUUGAACCAUCCUUGAGACCCUGGAAUGAACCCCACUUGAUUGUAAUGUAUUAUUUUUUGGAUGUACUAUUGUAUUUGAUUUGCCAGUAUUUUGUUUAGAAUUUCUGCAUCUGUAUUCAUUAGAGAUAUUGAUCUGUAGUUUUCUUUUUUUGCAUUAUCUUUGCCAGAUUUUGGUAUCAGGGUUAUAUUGGCCUCAUAGAAUGUGUUGGGAAGUAUUGCCUCUUCAAUUUUUUGGAAGAGUUUGACAAUGACAGGUUCUAAAUCUUCUUUGACCAUUUGGUAGAAUUCACUGAUGAAGCCAUCUGGUCCUGGACUUUUGUUUUUGGGGGAAGAUUCUGAUGGUUGUUUCAAUUACUUACUGCUGAUUGGUCUAUUCAGAUUUUCCAGUUCUUCAUGAUUCAGUCUAGGUAGGUUAUAUAUUUCUUUUCUUGUUUAUUUUUUAUUGCACAUUACUCCUUUAUUAUACUGAUCUGGAAAAAACAUUUAGUAGUUAUGUUUCAAAAUGCUUACUGGGCCCAAGUGGCAGGGCCACACAACUGCAACAUGAUUUAGAACUUAGACACAGUGAAAGACAUCCCUGGACAUGAUCAAGAGACAUUUCACUGCCAUGAAACAAUAAAGCAGAGGAGGGAUUCUAAAAUACACAGCAGGGUAACUCCUACACCUUACAAGUCAAGGAGCUCAUCCCACCUUGGUGUGAAGAAUGGCUUAUAUUGUGAUGACCGCAUGUGGGAAUAGUUCAACCGCUACUAGAAACCCCAGUAGGGUAUUUGUUUUGUAUUAUUUUAUAUAGAUACACUUU